GCGCACCUGGGCGGCGAAAGGAAACGUAUUUCACGCGCCCUCUUCAGGCUCAAAGAAGGAUAGCAUCGCUUCAACUCCUGAAGAGAAAAGGAUCUUCCCAGGUGUUGAUGUCAGGCUGAUUGGUAAUUUCCUGGGUCUGGAUUUUUUUCCUUUUCAUUUUUGGAAGAUGGGAACCACAUCAUCUCUCUUUUAGUCCUCAGGGGGAAGAACUUUAUGGCAGAGGUUUUAGAUUGCCCCAGUACAAUAGUGCUUGGCCAGAAGUAAUAUGCCUAGUUAUCACCUUCAAGCAACUGGCUGCCCAGUGGUCACCAGAGCCCAGGAGAAAGCAGAUCUCAACCUUCCCAGUGAUUUAAGCGAGGAGCUGAAAAAAGCGCUGAAAAGUGAUAACUGGUUCCUGUCCCACUCAAAUGAGUGCACCAUAUGAGAUAGCCUAGCAGGGAUUGGCGCGAAACUAUACAUCCCCGCCAGUCUUAGGGGAACUGUGCUGCAACGGGCCCAUGAUUUGAAGUCUGCUGGAUACAUUGGCUUCAUGAAAACUUUACACCUAGUCAAAGUCACAGUUCUGGUGGCCCUCAUUGAAAAAAGACAUAGAAACCUACGUGGCCAGCUGUCCUGUGUGUGCUUCUGCUAAGAGCCCCCCCCCCCCCCGGGAAGCCUGCUGGACUCCUUCAGAGUGUGGCCAGUCCUAGUUCCCCAUGGAAGGAAAUAUCUAUGGACUUCAUUGUUGAACUAUCUGAGAGCGGGGGAACACAGUCAUUUGGGUGAUCACAGGCUUAUUUUCCAAGCAGGUGCACUUUGUACCCUGCUCCAAGAUCCCUUCUGCAAAAAUGCUCGCCAAACUGUUUAUCCAACAUGUGUAUAGGUUACAUGGGUUCCUGACUGCAUCAUUUUGGAUGGGGUACAAUUCACCUCCCAUUUCUGGAGGGAGUUCCUGAAGUUGUUUUUUAUAAUUUGAUUUAUAUGCUGCCCUUCUCCGAAGACUCAGGGCGGCUUACAAUGUGCUCAGCAAUAGCCUUCAUCCUUUUGUAUAUUUAUACAAAGUCAGCUUAUUGCCCCCACAAACUGGGUCCUCAUUUCACCUACCUUAGAAAGGAUGGAAGGCUGAAUCAACCUUGAGCCUUGGCGAGAUUCGAACCCUGCAGUAAUUGCAGGCAGCUGGUCUUAAUAAGCUUAAUAACAGGGUGCCUUAAACCCCUGUGAAGUUGUUAGGUUUCACCCAGGGUCUAAGCUCCUCCCACCACCCUCAAACUAACGGGGCUUGUGAAUGUUGGAAUUCGGUUCUGGAACAGUACCUCAGGUGCUAUGUAAACUACCAGCAGGGCAAUUGGGCCAACUUGCUGGCUUUUGCGGAGAUGGCUUACAAUAACUUGAUGCACAGUAGCACCGGCUUCACCCCAUUUAAAGUUGCUUCUGGUCAGGAUUUCGUACCCAUUUCAGAAUUGUCUCAGGGGAAACCCCAGAUAUCUUCCUUAGUGGAAUGAAUCUAAUGGAAUGGAUAGAAAAGCUUCAAUGUAUUUGGCCCAUCACCCAUAAGGCACUAGACGAAGCACAUCAAGCCCAUAAAAGACAGGCUGACAAGAAAAGAGCUAUACCAAAAGGUCCAAAUAGGGGACAGGGUCUUCCUAUCUACAAAGUACUUACAGACCACCCAGAAAUCAAAGAAACUGGGACCUAAAUAUCUAGGCCCUUUCCCUAUUGUUAGGAUUGUAGAUCUGGUCACUGUACAGUUAGAGCUACCCAAAACCCUUAGAAAGAUCCACCCUAUGUUUCAUGUUACCUUGUUGAAACCUGAGAUGUACAGUAUCUCCUCUUCGACCAGGCCAAGCUGCCCCUCCAAUUCCUCUCCUCAUUGAAGGUGAACAACACUUCAAGAUCAAAGAGAUCCUGGAUUCCAGGAAACAUAGGAGGAAAGUACAGUAUUUGGUGGCUGGGAAACAUCAAAUUAACCAAAACUUCUUUGAGAAUGCAAAUAAACCAGGGAGGUGGUUAGCAUAUAAAUUGAAGAAACAUAAGGAGAAAAGAUGGAUUAAUAAACUGCAAAAUGAGGAAGGAGAGAUGUGCUAUCAGAAUGAGGAGAAAAAGAACAUAGUGCAGGAAUAUUAUAAGAAACUGUAUGAUGUUAAGACAGAUGUUCAAAAGAUAAAGCAAUAAACUGUUUAAGGAAAGCCUCGCUGCCUAAAGAAACAAAAAAUAUUUUAUUUAUUUAUUUAAUUUGAUUUGUAUGCUGCCCUAUCUCCAUAGGACUCAGAGCAGCUCAAAACAAAAUCAAACCAGAUAAAAACAUAUUAAAAUACAAAUUAAACGUAUGUUAAAACUCAUUAAAAUAAUCAAACCCCAUCAGUCCAGGCUGGGCGAUUUAAACAGCCAUGUCUUUAGUUCGCAGUGGAAAGUGCGAAGGUCAGGGGCCAAAUGGAGCCCCAGGGGGAGUUGAUUCCAAAGGGUGGGUGUGCCCACAGAGAAAGCUCUACCUCUGGAGGCUGCCAGCUGACAUUGUCUAGCCGAUGGCAUCCUGAGUAGGCCUUCCCUGUGAGAAUGCACUGGGUGAUGGGAAGCUGUUGCUGGUUAUAGAUGGUCCGACAAAUAUCCUAGGCCUAAGCCAUGUAGGGCUUUAUAGGUCAUCACCAGCACCUUGAAUCUCACCCGGAGGGCAACCGGCAACCAAUGCAAGUCGCGCAGAAGAGGUGUAACAUGGGAGUAUCUGCACCCUCCAUCACAACCCGCGCAGCCGCAUUCUGUACCAGCUGAAGCCUCCGAGUGGUCUUCAAGGGCAGCCCCAAGUAGAGAGCAUUGCAGUAGUCAAUACGGGAGGUGACUAGCAUAUGAAUAACUCUGCGUAGAGCAUCUUGGUCCAAAUAGAGGCGCAACUGGCGCACCAGGCGAACCUGGGCAAAUGCCCCCCUGGUCACAGCUGUUAUAUGAUCUUCUAAACUCAACAGUGAGCCCAAGAGGACACCCAAGUUGCGUGCCCUGUCUACAGGGGGCAAAACUUCACCCCGUAUAGCCAAAGAUGGAACCUCUCUAUCGGACCAAGAUGCUGGUACCCACAGCCACUCGGUCUUGGCAGUGUUGAGCCGAAGCCUAUUCCUCCCCAUCCAGACCUGCACCACUUCCAGGCACCGGGAUAUCACGUUGAGGGCAUCACUGGGCUGAUUCGGGGUGGAAAUGUACAGCUGGGUAUCAUCAGCAUACUGAUGAUACCUCACCCCGAAACCACGGAUGAUCUCUCCCAGCGGCUUCGUAUAAAUGUUGAACAGAAGGGGUGAGAGGACCGACCCCUGUGGCACCCCACAAGUGAGAGGCCUCAUGGUCGACCUCUGCCCCCGCCAACAUCGCUUGCAUACAACCUGAGAGGUAAGAGGAGAACCACCGCAAAACGAUUCCUCCCACUCCCAACCCCUUGAGGUGUCGCAGCAAGAUACCAUGGUCAAUGGAAUCAAAAGCCGCCAAAAGAUCUAAUAGGACCAGAACAUAGGAGUAACCUCUGUCCCGAGCCCUCCAGAGAUCAUCCACUAGCGCGACCAAUGCCGUCUCCGUGCUGAAUCCGGGCCUGAAACCCGAUUGGAAUGGAUCAAGGUACUCCACUUCAUCCAGGGCCACCGGGAGCUGACAUGCCACCAUGCUCUCAACAACCUUUGCAAGAAAGCGAAGGUUGGAGACCAGAUGGAAAUUACUCAAAAUAGCUGGAUCCAAGGCAGGUUCUUGAGGAGGGGCCUAACCACCACCACCUUCAAGGCGGCAGGAAAGCUUCCCUCCUCCAAGGAAGCAGUUAUCACUGCCUGGAUCCAGUCACGUGUCACCUCCCGAGCUGAAUAAACCAGCCAGUUUACUGGCACGGGUCCAGUACACACAUGGUCGCACUCAGCUUCCCCAUGAUCCUGUCCACUUCCUCAGGGGUAACAGGAUCAAACUCCUCCCAGAUGACAAGACCCGCCGCCUCCCCACCGUCUGAUCCUGUCCAGUAACAGUCCAAGCCAUCCCGAGUCUGAGCAAUCUUGUCCAGCAGAUGCUGACUAAACUCCUCGGCUCACCCUCACAAAGGGUCCUCCCCCACCCUCUGAUUCAAGAGGGAGCUGGACACCCUAAACAGGGCAGCCGGGCAAUUAUCUGCAGACGUGAUGAUAUCGGAGAAGUAGCAACGCUUUGCCACCGCCAGCUCCAACAGAUAAGAUCGUGCGAACGACCUCAGCUGUGCUCAGUCAAAUUCGGAAUGACUGGUUCUCCAACAGCUCUCUAGGCCUCUCCUCCGGCGCUUCAUCCCCCGGAGCUCCCUGGUAAACCAAGGAGCCAACCGAGAUCUGCGUCGAGUCAGAGGCCACAAAGGCACGACACGGUCAAGAGCCCCGGCGGCCGACUCAUCCCAGGCAUCCACCAGGGCUGCGACCGGGGCGUGGGAGAGAGAGAGAGGUAUCCUUCCAAGCUCCAUCUGGAACCUCUCCGGGUCCAUCAGGUGCCUGGGGUGGAACCAGGUGGUUGGUUCCGCAUCCCAGUGAGGAGGGGUGGCAUAAUGGAAGCCUAGCCGAAGGAGAUAGUGAUCAGUCCAUGACAGGGGGUAAAUAGCAAAAAUUCCCCCACCAAACUCAGCCCGCCACUGUUCCGAGAUAAAAACAAGAUCGGGAGUGUGGCCCCCCCCUCAUGAGUCGGGCCCUGAAUAAUCUCAGUCAUGCCCAUGGCUACCAUGGAAGCCAUGAACUCCUGAGCCACACACACCCCCCACCCAGGGAAGGCAGAUUGAAGUCCCCCAGUACAAUAAGUCUGGGAAACUCCACCACCAGCCCUGACAGGGCGUCAAGUAGCCCGGGCAGGGCCGUUGUUACGCAGCUGGGAGACAGGUACGCAAUCAACAGGCCCAACUGCCCUUGCGGGCCCCAUCUCAUGAGGAGAUGGGGCCUCACACCCAUCCAUCUGGGGAACAGUGACCUCCCGCGGACUUCCCGAAUAACAACCACCACCACCCCUCCCCUACCCUGGGCCCUCAGCUGGUGUAGCACCCGGAAACCUGGUGGGCAGAGUUUUGUCAGAGGGACACCUCCCUCUGAGCCCAACCAGGUUUCCGUAAUGCAAGCCAGGUCUGUGUUUUCCUCCUCAAUCAACUCACGAAUGAGGGGAGUUUUGUUAACCACAGACUUGGCAUUAAAAUAGACCAGCCUGAGCCCAGUGAUCUCCUCUCUCAAACCCCCAGGAAGUCGGAUGGAACCAAGAGGGUCGGAGCAUGUCACCGCUCGAAGAUAGUGAGGGCGAGCUCCCAGAUUUUGAUACAGCCCUCGGUUCAUCCAUCUGCCUCCAUUCCCCAUCGCAACUAGGAUCAGAGCUCCGACCCUUUCCCCCGGGGCAUCCGGGGACCCCAGCCCCACUCCAACCCCACCGCUACCCAUCCACGGCCUGGACUGCCAUUGGUCCGGAGGAGCCCCCCCCCCCCAGCAGCCUGCUGGAUAUCAUAACCCUCCCCCCUCCCCAAUCCCCUUAAAAACUUAGAUAAAAAACUAUACAAAGCCCCCUUAUUAAAACCCCUAGAACCCGUAUGCCACCUCUCAGGAUCCCAAGACCUGUCAUUAAGGUAGAUCUUUGACAGGCCAGCAGGCCACUCCCAGAAAUAGGGGACAUUCCUCAGGCCAAUCAAAUCCGUGAUCGCAUAUGUCAAAACAUUUAACAAAAUAUGUUAAAUGAAGAAAUAAGGAUGCCAGAAUUAAUAGAGGCAAUAAAAAAAACAAAAGAAUAACAAAACACCAGGCCCGAAUGGGUUGCCAGUAGAAAUGUAUAAAGAAUUGAGGACCCAGUUUGUGAA
Non-coding RNA from Pantherophis guttatus, 5782 nucleotides. The record is from RefSeq and is a predicted model, not a curated record. Lineage: Eukaryota; Metazoa; Chordata; Lepidosauria; Squamata; Colubridae.